CCAACAUCUUGAUUUCAGACUCGGACAUUCUAAGCCAGAGAACCAGCCUAACCCAUUGCACUUCUGACUUACCGAACUGUGAGAUAACACAUGUAUAUGUUUUAGGUUUGUGGUAAUUUAUUACAGCAGUGAUAGAAAACUAAUACAAUCAUUUUCAUGUGGACCUGCUAGGGUCUUCCAUCAUAUCUUCUAACUGGUUGUUGCUUAUGACCUACACACAGCGGUUAAACUGUCAAUGAAAGAGAAGAAAAGAAAAUCAGUGCCCACUCAGAGGGAAACAGCCAUGGGAACUUUGACUUCUGGACUGAGCUGAAGAUUGUGUAAAAUGUGGAACACAAAGUUAGGAUACAAAAUGUAUUAAAAAUAGAUGUUAUGAAUCAGCAAUAAAGUUUAC
Equus caballus (horse) is the source of this 394-nucleotide non-coding RNA. The record is from RefSeq and is a predicted model, not a curated record. NCBI's taxonomy places the organism in Eukaryota, Metazoa, Chordata, Mammalia, Perissodactyla, Equidae.